RNAcentral lists this ribosomal RNA (253 nucleotides) under uncultured bacterium. RNAcentral describes it as "partial 16S ribosomal RNA". It matches the Rfam family "Bacterial small subunit ribosomal RNA", at positions 524 to 776 of the family's 1533-position model. The record is from RNAcentral.
UACGUAGGCAGCGAGCGUUGUUCGGAGUUACUGGGCGUAAAGGGUGCGUAGGCGGUUGUUUAAGUUUGGUGUGAAAUCUCCCGGCUCAACUGGGAGGGUGCGCCGAAUACUGAAUGACUAGAGUGCGGGAGAGGAUAGUGGAAUUCCUGGUGUAGCGGUGAAAUGCGUAGAUAUCUGGAGGAACACCGGUGGCGAAGGCGGCCAUCUGGACGGAUACUGACGCUGAGACGCGAAAGCGUGGGGAGCAAACAGG